This 252-nucleotide ribosomal RNA is filed under the name uncultured bacterium. Its description in RNAcentral is "partial 16S ribosomal RNA". It matches the Rfam family "Bacterial small subunit ribosomal RNA", at positions 524 to 776 of the family's 1533-position model. The record is from RNAcentral.
UACGUAGGGGGCUAGCGUUAUCCGGAAUUACUGGGCGUAAAGGGUGCGUAGGUGGUUUCUUAAGUCAGAGGUGAAAGGCUACGGCUCAACCGUAGUAAGCCUUUGAAACUGGAGAACUUGAGUGCAGGAGAGGAGAGUAGAAUUCCUAGUGUAGCGGUGAAAUGCGUAGAUAUUAGGAGGAAUACCAGUUGCGAAGGCGGCUCUCUGGACUGUAACUGACACUGAGGCACGAAAGCGUGGGGAGCAAACAGG